GGACUACAGGGGUAUCUAAUCCUGUUGGCUCCCCAUGCUCUCGUGCCUCAGUGUCAAUCAAGUCGUAGUAGCCUGCCUUCGCAAUCGGGGUUCUGGGUCAUAUCUAUGCAUUUCACCGCUACAUGACCCGUUCCAGCUACCGCCAACCCAUUCAAGUCCUCCAGUUUCCAGCCACAUCUGAUCGUUAAGCGACCAGCUUUCAAACCAGACUUAGAAGACCACCUACGCACCCUUUAAACCCAAUAAAUCCGGACAACGCUUGCACCCUCCGUAUUACCGCGGCGGCUGGCAC
This 292-nucleotide unclassified non-coding RNA is filed under the name uncultured fungus. RNAcentral describes it as "sequence contains ITS1". The record is from RNAcentral. Lineage: Eukaryota; Fungi.